CCUACGGGAGGCAGCAGUGGGGAAUCUUAGACAAUGGGCGCAAGCCUGAUCUAGCCAUGCCGGGUGUGUGAUGAAGGCCUUAGGGUCGUAAAGCUCUUUCGCCAGAGAUGAUAAUGACAGUAUCUGGUAAAGAAACCCCGGCUAACUCCGUGCCAGCAGCCGCGGUAAUACGGAGGGGGUUAGCGUUGUUCGGAAUUACUGGGCGUAAAGCGCACGUAGGCGGAUUAGUAAGUUAGAGGUGAAAUCCCAGGGCUCAACCCUGGAACUGCCUUUAAUACUGUUAGUCUUGAGUUCGAGAGAGGUGAGUGGAAUUCCAAGUGUAGAGGUGAAAUUUGUAGAUAUUUGGAGGAACACCAGUGGCGAAGGCGGCUCACUGGCUCGAUACUGACGCUGAGGUGCGAAAGUGUGGGGAGCAAACAGGAUUAGAUACCCUGGUAGUCCACACCGUAAACGAUGAAUGCCAGUCGUCGGGCAGUAUACUUUCGGUGACACACCUAACGGAUUAAG
This 507-nucleotide ribosomal RNA is filed under the name uncultured bacterium. Its description in RNAcentral is "bacterial SSU rRNA". It matches the Rfam family "Bacterial small subunit ribosomal RNA", at positions 338 to 864 of the family's 1533-position model. The record is from RNAcentral.